GGGAAACAGUGAGGUUGAUGCAUUUGCCCAAGAUCACACAGCUCUUGGGGAGUGGAGCCUGACUUUGAAUUUAGGCCGCCCGCCCCCAGAGCCUGUGUUCUUGGCCAUCCUUCUUCGCACCUGGCUUAGAGACCCAGGCUCUGCAUAGAGGGGCCCAGUGAUCUUGGGUUAGUCCCUUAAGCCCCAGCCUAGCAAAAGGGAAAGGAAAUAUCUUCAGCACCCAGUGAGGGGGAGCUCAGAGAGGGGACCCCUUUUACUACAGGGCACACAGCCGGCUGAGCCAGGACCCACCACACUCAACUCCCCGGCCCCUGGCUCCCAGGAGGUGGCUCCUCCAUGGCCGGGAAGGACCCCCACGGCUGCUCCCGCAGGCAGAUGGACAGACGAUGGCCCCCUCCCACGGCCUGCGGGCUGUGUGGCAUCGCCACCUCCUCCCGAGCAGGCUGCCUUUAAGAAACCAGAAGAUUGAUUUCCUGGCAGGCUCUACGCCGAGGAGCCCGUCCAAAUGGUUUGCAUGUCUGCAUUUUUUACUGCUCCGUUUAAUAUGUAUGCAAAUGCCGGCCGGCUGCGCCCGCCGCGCGGCUGCACAGUCACACGCGGCGCCCCAUUAAAGCGGCCGUCCCGGGCGCGCGCCUCAUUCGAGGCGACGGGCUCCGGGCCCUGAUAGAUGGGGUGCGGGGACGGAGACAAAUGACGGCCUUUGGGCUCGGAAUACCCACCUUUCUGGUAAUGCAGCCCAGCGGGUCCCAGCCUCGUUUUCCAGCCCUCACUCAAAAUGGAGUCGCUCUGGUUCGAACGCCUCUGACAAGUGUGUACCUACGUGUCAGGGAGCCUGCUCACAUGACCGUGUGGAGAAAGUUCUUUCCCUGAGGACCAUCUGGAGUGGACGCGUGCACUACCCCUCUCUGAAUACACCCUCCCCACGAGGCCCUCUGGAGCAUCCUGUAGAGCCAGCCCCUACCCAGAGACCCUGAGCCCAGAGAAUGCGCUGGGUGGUGAGCCUGGGGACGAAUGCAGAGCCCUAGGUCUCCUCUCCAGAAAGACCGGAUUUUGCCAUGUUGGCCAGGCUGGUCUUGAACUCCUGACCUCAAGUGAUCCACCUGCCUCGGCCUCCCAAAGUGCAGGGAUUACAGGUGUGAGCCACUGCACCCGGCCUCAGGCAGGUAUUUUUACCAGCCGAAUACUCUUGCACUGUGCACUCUUCGUGUUCAUCAUCAGUCCCCCGGAUGGGUGUUUAAGGCAUUUCCAAAGCUCUGUUAUUAAAAACACGAUGCAAUGAGUUUCUUUCAGCAUUUCCCCUUGUUGCCGUGUGAAUGCGUCCGUGGUAUAACUUCCUAAAAGUGGAAUCGCUUGGUCAAAGGGUGGGUGCAUUUAGCAACCUGAUGGCUUUCCAGGAGACAAGUGCUGCCUCCCGGCCACGAGCUUUUAAGAAGAACUGUUGAUGGAACCCGAGCUGGAGUCCCAGGGACCGGGGCGAGUUCUCCAUCCCAGGGGAUUUUCAGAUGGGACACUGGGGAGAAGCUGCCCUGCCCAUCUGAACUCUAUGAUCCCAGUACUAACACUGGUAGCUGUGCCAUCCCCAGUAUAGAGACAGCACCGUGCUCUUGGGAGGGUGAGUCAUUGGCCCCCG
This 1630-nucleotide long non-coding RNA is filed under the name Homo sapiens (human). Its description in RNAcentral is "HSALNT0155898". The record is from RNAcentral. Lineage: Eukaryota; Metazoa; Chordata; Mammalia; Primates; Hominidae.